RNAcentral lists this ribosomal RNA (253 nucleotides) under uncultured bacterium. RNAcentral's name for it is "partial 16S ribosomal RNA". It matches the Rfam family "Bacterial small subunit ribosomal RNA", at positions 524 to 776 of the family's 1533-position model. The record is from RNAcentral.
UACGAGUGCCCCGAGCGUUAUCCGGAAUUAUUGGGCGUAAAGGGUGUGUAGGCGGUUUUGUUAGUCUUGUGUUAAAGCUCCCGGCUUAACCGGGAAAGUGCAUGAGAUACGGCAAAACUAGAGGAUGCGAGAGGUAUGCGGAACUCAUAGUGUAGGGGUGAAAUCCGUUGAUAUUAUGGGGAACACCAAAAGCGAAGGCAGCAUACUGGCGCACUCCUGACGUUGAGACACGAAAGCGUGGGUAGCGAAUGGG